AAGCACCGGCUAACUACGUGCCAGCAGCCGCGGUAAUACGUAGGGUGCGAGCGUUGUCCGGAAUUAUUGGGCGUAAAGAGCUCGUAGGCGGCUCGUCGCGUCUGCUGUGAAAGCCCGGGGCUUAACCCUGGGUCUGCAGUGGGUACGGGCGAGCUAGAGUGCGGUAGGGGAGACUGGAAUUCCUGGUGUAGCGGUGAAAUGCGCAGAUAUCAGGAGGAACACCGGUGGCGAAGGCGGGUCUCUGGGCCGUAACUGACGCUGAGGAGCGAAAGCAUGGGUAGCGAACAGGAUUAGAUACCCUGGUAGUCCAUGCCGUAAACGUUGGGCGCUAGGUGUGGGCCGCAUUCCACGUGGUCUGUGCCGCAGCUAACGCAUUAAGCGCCCCGCCUGGGGAGUACGGCCGCAAGGCUAAAACUCAAAGGAAUUGACGGGGCCCCGCACAAGCGGCGGAGCAUGCGGAUUAAUUCGAUGCAACGCGAAGAACCUUACCAAGGCUUGACAUGCAGGGAAAUCCUCCAGAGAUGGUGGGUCCGCAAGGGUCCUGCGCAGGUGGUGCAUGGUUGUCGUCAGCUCGUGUCGUGAGAUGUUGGGUUAAGUCCCGCAACGAGCGCAACCCUCGUUCGAUGUUGCCAGCGGGUGAUGCCGGGGACUCAUCGGAGACUGCCGGGGUCAACUCGGAGGAAGGUGGGGAUGACGUCAAAUCAUCAUGCCCCUUAUGUCUUGGGCUUCACGC
Molecule: ribosomal RNA, 733 nt
Filed under: Pseudokineococcus marinus
Lineage: Bacteria; Bacillati; Actinomycetota; Actinomycetes; Kineosporiales; Kineosporiaceae
Description: bacterial SSU rRNA
Rfam family: Bacterial small subunit ribosomal RNA
Source: RNAcentral